Molecule: ribosomal RNA, 670 nt
Filed under: Cryobacterium sp. N4_00_1
Lineage: Bacteria; Bacillati; Actinomycetota; Actinomycetes; Micrococcales; Microbacteriaceae
Description: bacterial SSU rRNA
Rfam family: Bacterial small subunit ribosomal RNA
Source: RNAcentral
GGUGAAGAGGAGCUUGCUCCUUGGAUCAGUGGCGAACGGGUGAGUAACACGUGAGCAAUCUGCCCUUGACUCUGGGAUAACUGCGGGAAACUGUAGCUAAUACCGGAUAUUACCUUGGAAGGCAUCUUCUGGGGUGGAAAGAAUUUUGGUCAAGGAUGAGCUCGCGGCCUAUCAGCUAGUUGGUGAGGUAAUGGCUCACCAAGGCGACGACGGGUAGCCGGCCUGAGAGGGUGACCGGCCACACUGGGACUGAGACACGGCCCAGACUCCUACGGGAGGCAGCAGUGGGGAAUAUUGCACAAUGGGCGCAAGCCUGAUGCAGCAACGCCGCGUGAGGGACGACGGCCUUCGGGUUGUAAACCUCUUUUAGUAGGGAAGAAGCGACUGGGUUUUCCUGGGAGUGACGGUACCUGCAGAAAAAGCACCGGCUAACUACGUGCCAGCAGCCGCGGUAAUACGUAGGGUGCAAGCGUUGUCCGGAAUUAUUGGGCGUAAAGAGCUCGUAGGCGGUUUGUCGCGUCUGCUGUGAAAACCCGAGGCUCAACCUCGGGCCUGCAGUGGGUACGGGCAGACUAGAGUGCGGUAGGGGAGAUUGGAAUUCCUGGUGUAGCGGUGGAAUGCGCAGAUAUCAGGAGGAACACCAAUGGCGAAGGCAGAUCUCUGGGCCGUA